RNAcentral lists this small nucleolar RNA (161 nucleotides) under Sporothrix schenckii ATCC 58251. The record is from RNAcentral. Lineage: Eukaryota; Fungi; Ascomycota; Sordariomycetes; Ophiostomatales; Ophiostomataceae.
CCUCGGCAUGAUAACUGGACGACCGUCUCAAACAUCCUACGACACGAGUCUUUUAAGUUGCCGAUAGAACAAACCACCAUAUGCGGAGAUCUUACACGUUUCUCGGAGUCUUCACUGGCAAUCACACAUGACGUUUAUACGUUUAAUCUUCCGCAACAGUC